Molecule: ribosomal RNA, 425 nt
Filed under: uncultured bacterium
Lineage: Bacteria
Description: partial 16S ribosomal RNA
Rfam family: Bacterial small subunit ribosomal RNA
Source: RNAcentral
GUGGGGAAUCUUGCGCAAUGGGCGAAAGCCUGACGCAGCCAUGCCGCGUGGAUGAUGAAGGUCUUAGGAUUGUAAAAUCCUUUCACCGGUGAAGAUAAUGACUGUAGCCGGAGAAGAAGCCCCGGCUAACUUCGUGCCAGCAGCCGCGGUAAUACGAAGGGGGCUAGCGUUGCUCGGAAUUACUGGGCGUAAAGGGAGCGUAGGCGGACAUUUAAGUCAGGGGUGAAAUCCCGAGGCUCAACCUCGGAACUGCCUUUGAUACUGGGUGUCUUGAGUGUGAGAGAGGUGAGUGGAACUCCGAGUGUAGAGGUGAAAUUCGUAGAUAUUCGGAAGAACACCAGUGGCGAAGGCGACUCACUGGCUCAUUACUGACGCUGAGGCUCGAAAGCGUGGGGAGCAAACAGGAUUAGAAACCCGUGUAGUCC